AAUACCACAGAGCUACACAGCAAACUUAAUCAACCCCUGUUAUGUACAUGUGCCUUCAAUCGGCUCUGUUUGCCAUCGUUGCAAGAAUUCUGAACACUAGCGCACUUUCACACACCGCGAUUUUCAAUCAAAUUGUCACUAGGACAUGUGAUUUCGCACUAGUUUAUAAAGUCAACCUGCAUACAUGAACCCAGCAUUUGAACUAAUGUAUCUUCGAGGAGAGGACAAAUGGAAGGAUACACAAAGCUAAAACCAUAAAUAUUAUAAGAAAUCCAAACAUGAGAAAUACUAUAUCUGUCAAUUCUGUACAUAAACAUCCCCCACUAGCUUAGCCUUCGCAUAUAUGUAUAUAUAUAUAUAGACACAUUUACAUUUAUGUGUAUAUGACGGCCGCAACAAAAAGUAGUUAACACUCCUCUGUCUAAACAUUUGGGUGACGGACAAAUGUAGAGGUUUUCAUAUACAAGUACUUUGACAAGACUAAGGGAGUUCAUGAAUAAUGUGGAACGGUGUGUCAAGUGCGCAUCGUAUCCAAUUACAGUCCUAAUGGCGCUUCGGAUUAGUCGGUGGCGGCGUAGGGGGUGCUUUAAGACGUCUUACGCCCCUAAAUUCCCUGUCAACAAUUUGACCCAUCAACUCUCGAUGUGCUUCCAUGGCUGGUACUGCAGAUGAUUCAUCUCAGGCUGGAACGGAACUCGGAGUACCACUCUGAGCAUCAGGAACGUGGACUUCGCGGAGACCUGUGCCGCACUCAGCCUCACCAAGGAGCAUCACAAGGAAGACAGCUAUCAGAAUCAGUCCCUGCAACUUGCGAUCAUAGCUCGAUGCAGACGCCAUUGCUGUUGAUGACCACGAUCGGAUGCCUCCACGAUCAACUCAACACGAUCACAACCUUCACCUCCAGCACUAUCCUCAGACCAGACAGUUGACAGGCCCAGAUCACAUUCCUGAGGAAAGAGAUUCGUGAUUCUGCAACUCUGGUGCAGCAUUUAUACCAGUUUGCAGGCUCCUCUCGUCCUAAUUAUCAUUCAUAAGUCCACGGACACUGUAUAAAAACCAACUUUAGGACCAGGUUAACGAACAUCUAGAUUAUCACGCUCUGCAACGCACACUU
This 1114-nucleotide long non-coding RNA is filed under the name Physcomitrium patens. RNAcentral's name for it is "long non-coding RNA (PPAT_LNC007663)". Lineage: Eukaryota; Viridiplantae; Streptophyta; Bryopsida; Funariales; Funariaceae. The record is from RNAcentral.